GACUUCGGUUCUGAUGGCGACCGGCGCACGGGUGAGUAACGCGUACACUACCUACCUUUAACAGAGGGAUAGCCCUGGGAAACUGGGAUUAAUACCACAUAGUAUUGCAUAUUUUAUUUUUAUGCAAUUAAAGCUCCGGCGGUUAAAGAUGGGUGUGCGUUAGAUUAGCUAGUUGGUAAGGUAAUGGCUUACCAAGGCUACGAUCUAUAGGGGGCGUGAGAGCGUGGACCCCCACACGGGUACUGAGACACGGACCCGACUCCUACGGGAGGCAGCAGUAAGGAAUAUUGGACAAUGGGCGCAAGCCUGAUCCAGCCAUCCCGCGUGAAGGAUGACGGCCCUAUGGGUUGUAAACUUCUUUUAUUAGGGAAGAAACCUUUUCAUUUAUGAAGAGCUGACGGUACCUAAAGAAUAAGCACCGGCUAACUCCGUGCCAGCAGCCGCGGUAAUACGGAGGGUGCAAGCGUUAUCCGGAAUCACUGGGUUUAAAGGGUGCGUAGGCGGAUA
RNAcentral lists this ribosomal RNA (507 nucleotides) under uncultured Bacteroidota bacterium. RNAcentral describes it as "bacterial SSU rRNA". It matches the Rfam family "Bacterial small subunit ribosomal RNA", at positions 76 to 581 of the family's 1533-position model. The record is from RNAcentral. Lineage: Bacteria; Pseudomonadati; Bacteroidota.